AGACCGAUAGCGAACAAGUAGAGUGAUCGAAGGAUGAAAAGCACCUUGAAAAGGGGGUUAAACAGUACGUUGAAAUUGUUGAAAGGGAAGGGCUCGUGACCAGACUUGUGCCAGGCGGCUCAUCCGGCGUUCUCGCCGGUGCACUCCGCCUGGCUCAGGCCAGCAUCGGUUCUCGCCGGGGGAUAAGAGCUUCGGGAACGUGGCCCCCUUCGGGGGGUGUUAUAGCCCGUCGCACGAUGCCCUGGCGGGGACCGAGGUUCGCGCUCCGCAAGGAUGCUGGCGUAAUGGUCACCAACCACCCGUCUUGAAACACGGACCAAG
This 321-nucleotide ribosomal RNA is filed under the name Gnomonia radicicola. RNAcentral's name for it is "partial large subunit ribosomal RNA". It matches the Rfam family "Eukaryotic large subunit ribosomal RNA", at positions 331 to 670 of the family's 3401-position model. Lineage: Eukaryota; Fungi; Ascomycota; Sordariomycetes; Diaporthales; Gnomoniaceae. The record is from RNAcentral.